UCACCUGUAAGGAAAAAAAACAUAAUUUAUUUAUUUAUCAGAAUAAGGAUAUAUCAAUCAUAUAAAUAAUAAACCAAAAAAUACCCUCUAUAGGAGGAUAAAUACUAAUACUACACAUAAUAUAAUGAAUGAAAAUAUGAAAUGCAUAAAAUCCCCAAAAUAACCCUCUAGAAGUAUGACUAUGUCCAAAUAGCCAAAAUAUCUUGCUCCCUCCAACUUUAUUUAUAAACAAUAAAUACAAAUAGAAUAAAACAGAGCCGGGUCAAACAGGAAGAUCCAU
This 280-nucleotide long non-coding RNA is filed under the name Trifolium pratense (red clover). RNAcentral's name for it is "long non-coding RNA (TPRA_LNC003876)". Lineage: Eukaryota; Viridiplantae; Streptophyta; Magnoliopsida; Fabales; Fabaceae. The record is from RNAcentral.